AAGUCGUAACAAGGUCUCCGUUGGUGAACCAGCGGAGGGAUCAUUACAGAGUUUAACCACUCAAAACCAUUGUGAACCUUACCUCAACCGUUGCUUCGGCGGGCGGGCCCCAAAAGCCCCCCCGGCCCCUCGCGGGCGCCCGCCGGAGGUAAAUCGAACCCUUGAAUUGUAUGGCCUCUCUGAGUCUUCUGUACUGAAUAAGUCAAAACUUUCAACAACGGAUCUCUUGGUUCUG
This 235-nucleotide unclassified non-coding RNA is filed under the name fungal sp. Its description in RNAcentral is "partial internal transcribed spacer region". The stretch from base 1 to 46 matches the Rfam family "Eukaryotic small subunit ribosomal RNA", at positions 1786 to 1831 of the family's 1831-position model. Lineage: Eukaryota; Fungi. The record is from RNAcentral. RNAcentral also lists the same sequence under 1 other name.